AUACUCUGGUUUCUCUUCAAAUCGUAUAAAUCUUUCGCCUUUUACUAAAGAUUUCCGUGGAGAGGAACAAGUAAGAGUUUAAAAAAAA
RNAcentral lists this small nuclear RNA (88 nucleotides) under Echinops telfairi (small Madagascar hedgehog). Its description in RNAcentral is "U5 spliceosomal RNA (ENSETEG00000021871.1)". It matches the Rfam family "U5 spliceosomal RNA", at positions 1 to 88 of the family's 117-position model. From Rfam's summary of the family: U5 RNA is a component of both types of known spliceosome. The precise function of this molecule is unknown, though it is known that the 5' loop is required for splice site selection and p220 binding, and that both the 3' stem-loop and the Sm site are important for Sm protein binding and cap methylation. The record is from RNAcentral. Lineage: Eukaryota; Metazoa; Chordata; Mammalia; Afrosoricida; Tenrecidae.